Molecule: long non-coding RNA, 316 nt
Organism: Ipomoea nil (Japanese morning glory)
Lineage: Eukaryota; Viridiplantae; Streptophyta; Magnoliopsida; Solanales; Convolvulaceae
Exons: 2
Source: RefSeq, a predicted model, not a curated record
UCAUUUUUCUAUUCAUAUUUUGUUGUAUUGAUUGUGUUAUUUGGACCAUAGCAAAAUACUCAAUAUAGAUGAUCAUAUGAUACUUUUGGUAAAUAAAGUGAUACUACAAUAUUUUGUUUGUUAAAUGUUUAGCCCCAAAUUUUCUUUUCAACCAUUUGAUAUGAAAGGCUUAAGCUACCUAUUUCAGUAUUCCCUGGAGAAUUUGAUCUAAUCUUCCAGGUGUUAUCCUUAAAUUUGAUUGAAGAAAUGAGAUUUGUUUACUUAACCUAUCCUUGAUGUCUGAUGGAUAAGAUGGUUUGAUUAAAUUUGUGAUCUG